ACACCCAUCAAGCCUGGCUUGGUAUUGGGCGACGGGGUCUUCCCCGCGCCCCGAUUUCGCCGGCUGGACGUACCCCGAUCUCAAGCGCUGUAAUAAGCCUUCGCUGGAGGGACGGGCGGCCACGCCGUUAAACCCAAUCAAUCA
Molecule: unclassified non-coding RNA, 144 nt
Filed under: uncultured Devriesia
Lineage: Eukaryota; Fungi; Ascomycota; Dothideomycetes; Mycosphaerellales; Teratosphaeriaceae
Description: sequence contains ITS2
Source: RNAcentral